UCUUGCUUUCUGCCGCUGUUGUGCAUC
RNAcentral lists this non-coding RNA (27 nucleotides) under Rattus norvegicus (Norway rat). The record is from RNAcentral. Lineage: Eukaryota; Metazoa; Chordata; Mammalia; Rodentia; Muridae.